AUGUCGGAUAAAAUAUGUAAUGUCUUUUCCAACUACUUUUCAUUGAACAAAAGUAAAUUGAGAGAAUAUUUGUUCAUGGUAAAACUGGGUAUGGAACUAUGGAUCGAAUCCAUCAGGUACUUGCCUUGCUUUGGCGCUGAUACUUCAUAUAUGCCUGUGUACCUGUUCCGCUUCAAGAGUUAUUCAAAUUCAACAAGAAGCAAUACUGAAAUUCACCUUGCAUGUCAUACACAUGAAGGGAUACCUUCAGUAGUUUAUUUAGAGGCUUUGGAAGCAUGUCAAUUUGUUGUCCAACAAGAUAAACAGUGGGGAUGCCAUCAUUAUACAUCUCCAUCAUAUUCCUAG
This 345-nucleotide ribosomal RNA is filed under the name Triticum aestivum (bread wheat). Its description in RNAcentral is "partial small subunit ribosomal RNA". The record is from RNAcentral. Lineage: Eukaryota; Viridiplantae; Streptophyta; Magnoliopsida; Poales; Poaceae.